AGAACAAAGCGGCCGGCGCUGACAAAGGAGCCGCCGCUGCUGCUGGAGGGGUGAAUCACCCGUCAGGAGAGGCGCGGCAAGGCGAGGCGUGCGCACCGAGCUAGGGGCUUUUUACGCAGCGCAGGGGCAGUUGUAAGCUUGUUCGCAGGUGCGGUGGAGCGUGCGAAACUCCUCUGGCAAGUGUUGGCAACUGUUGGAGUGCUGUCACUUCCCUAAAACUUAAAAGCUCUCCUUUAAGGGGCGUACGUGCCGCUAUAGCUGCAGAGGUGCCGUCCGCAUGACGCAGCAGUUCCACCACCGGACCGGGAGCGGAUACCCCGCGGUGGAGCCGUCCGGUUCCGCUCCGCUCCAGUCCGGCCCAACCCGACCCUCUGGGGGCCGCUGUGGCCCCACCGUACGUGGCGGCGGCGGGUGGGCGGGGCGCUGGGCGUCACGCGCUGGCAACGGCUGGGAGCGUCUGCCAGGAGGCUGAGGUGGAGUAGCGGCUGUGUAAGCGGGUCGGCUGCCUUCAUAGCCAUCAUCUUUUAUUUAACCCCCGCUCCUCCCAGCCUUCCCCGAAGAGAAGCAGAACUACCUGCUUUUCCUUGGGUUCCAUGAGGAUUAGGCAUCAGAGAGAUGUGAGUCCAAGUUUACUGAAGAUAAGAACUGUAAAGAAGUGAAAAUUUUCUUGUGAAGAAAUUUGCAUGUUCAAAUUUGCAUCGAGUCUGCUCCUUUAUUCAUAAUGGCAGGAAGAGAAAAUCUUAUGUCGUGCCUAUGGAGGGGAAGAACUAUUCUACCUUUACUAGAAGACACACUUCAUUAAUAUGAGAACUCUUCAACAAAGAAAGCACAGACAAGCUCAACCACAGCACGUACAACAGCACUAAAAUGCUCUCCCCUACCAAGCACAGGUGCAUACUGAAGAACUGAAGCUCCCUUAAAAUGAUUUGCUUGACUAGCACAUAGGAAUUCUGCACUCUGUGUCAGAAGAAGUGUGUCAGAAGAAGCUUGUCAGAAGAAUUUUACACAACAGUUUCAUCAUCAAAAUGUCGAGCAGCUCUCCCAGCUAGAUUUCUGUGCUGCCGCGUGCUGUCACAAACAUGUUUCUUUGAAAGUUUUAAAACAACACUUCAGGCUUGCUUAUCCACUGUCAGGCUGAAGUCCACUAUGUAGGGGAAGAAAGGUAUUAAAUACAGAACAAAAUUACCAGUGCUGUAAAAUAGUAUUUCUCGCUGUGCCAAUGUUUUCUCUGACCUUUGGGACAGUGCUGUGAUGUCAGUGCUCUGCAGCUUUGCCCUAUUUUCUGCAGUGCUUACACUGGGCUAGAUCUGAUGGAAAUAAACAUCUUACAUAACAGUCCGGCUGUGCACUCAGCUUUUUACUUGUCUAUUUUUAUUUUAUUUUUGGCUUUUCUUUUCUGAAGGAGAUUUUCCCAGCAUGAAUUCCGCACAUACAAUUAAUGUUUGCCAAAUUUCAUCUUUAAAAUCUGUUAGGGUUUAUAAGAAGAUUAAGAGACAGAGCCGAUGUGCUUCAUCACCCUUCCCCUGUAAUCACACAGCUUUGUACUAGCAGAGAGAGCAAGAAGCAGGUUAAAAUUGCAAUAAUUCCCUUGAAAGGAGAACUAAAAUAGAAAAUGGGGAAUGUGAGACUUUGUACUAGUGGGAUUAUUUAAACCAAACCCUUUCAGGAAAGAACAAAGAUCAGAUACAGACUAUACUCACAGAUAAAAGAAAUGUUCUGAUUUGAUAGCUUUUGCUGUUAUGUUAGUAGCAAAGGCAAGGAUGAGCAGUUUUACUCAGUAGAGUCUUGGAUACUUUAUUUUCUUGUUUCAUGUAUUUGUUUUGACUGAAUAUGUACCAUGUAUGUAUACAGACAAGGACUGGAUAGGCAAGCUUCCUAAAGAGCAAAGGAGAAAAUAGGAAUAGAGAAAUAUUUUUAACAAAAACGAACACAUUAAUAUGUGCGUAUAUACCAAGAAAAAAUGCCAAAAUAUCUACAGUAAAUUGACAUUAUCUAAAUUAAAUACAUGAAAGGUUUUAAAACUGGUAAAGUUUGAAGAGAAAAUUUUCCAAAGCUGUCAGAAUUACUUGGUUU
Molecule: long non-coding RNA, 2073 nt
Organism: Rhea pennata
Lineage: Eukaryota; Metazoa; Chordata; Aves; Rheiformes; Rheidae
Exons: 4
Source: RefSeq, a predicted model, not a curated record